UACGCAAAGAAUUGAUGAGGAAAACAAAAAAAACAAAAAAACAGGCUGCCAAGGGAAAUAAAGAAAGGUGCCGGCUGGAAUUCAACAAUUGAGGGAAGCCAAUUUUAUUUAUUUUCCACACACUUGAGGCUACUUUAUUAAAUUGAAGGGACGCACGGAAAUUGAGGAGCAGCUUGGAGUUCGUGGGGAAUAAAAUUGCAGACGCCGCCCCAUUCACGCAAGAAGGAAAAACGGCAUAUUCACUUCGCAAAUUAUUCACCGACAGGCAAUUAAUCGUAUCUGGAGAUGUCAAGGAGAUGCUCGCAACAAGUCUUGGAUGACAAAAUCCGGAGGGAGGAGACGAAGCAAGUUUAACAACAAAUUGACACGAUCUUUACCCAUAGCAAAGAUAUGUUCGGAGUAAAUGGUCAUGAAAUUUAGAGUGGCUAGAGAGGGCAAUUUAAACAUUUUGCAUUUUUUAAUGGUCCAUCAUUUCCCUCAUUUAUUGAAUAUUAAACGCCAUUUCAUAACCGUCCAUUUUCCCUAACCUUUCAUAUUCCGUACCUCCUUUCAUGGGAAGGAGUUUAUAAAGGGAAGUAGUGGUAUUGGUCCCCGAGUUGAGAUUUUCACAAAAUUGCACAAUCGCAGAGAGGUCUUGAAGACUUGGAAGCACCAAACAUAAUUUGAAAUUUGGUAUUUUGAA
This is a long non-coding RNA of Olea europaea var. sylvestris, 682 nucleotides long. RefSeq lists it as uncharacterized. Lineage: Eukaryota; Viridiplantae; Streptophyta; Magnoliopsida; Lamiales; Oleaceae. The transcript has 2 exons. The record is from RefSeq and is a predicted model, not a curated record.